This is a non-coding RNA of Podarcis lilfordi (Lilford's wall lizard), 76 nucleotides long. The record is from the annotation of a GenBank genome assembly. NCBI's taxonomy places the organism in Eukaryota, Metazoa, Chordata, Lepidosauria, Squamata, Lacertidae.
GCAAUAGCUCAGUCAGUAGAGGAUGAGACUCUUAAUCUCAGGGCCACGGGUUCAAGCAAAAGAUUCCUGCAUUGCA